This is a long non-coding RNA of Mesocricetus auratus (golden hamster), 1025 nucleotides long. RefSeq lists it as uncharacterized. The transcript has 7 exons. NCBI's taxonomy places the organism in Eukaryota, Metazoa, Chordata, Mammalia, Rodentia, Cricetidae. The record is from RefSeq and is a predicted model, not a curated record.
CGGGACCAGCCGGGAGGUGUGCGAGCCGCAGAGACUGAUGCUGUUCCUGGUCUGCAGAGCCAGCUUGGACCGAGAUUCAUAUGUAACCUUCCCUUAAGAUUUUCUCUUCUGCUGGACCAGUUCGGGUCUGCUUCUGCUUCUUACAACCAACGGCUAAGGAACCGGAAGAACAGACGUGCUGUGAACUCUGAGAAAGCCGUGAAGAGUUAGAAGGUGGAGAGGCAAAGCCUGUAGAGUAUGACAAUUUUUACAUUUUAAUCAUCAGCUGGGGAGGAGGAUCUGAGGACAACUUUAUGGAGUGGCUUCUUUCCAUCCGCCUUUACAUGGGUGCCUGCAGGCGUCAACCUCUACUGACCACACUUCUGUGGCCGUCGCCGUUCUCCACUGAGCCGUCUAUCUCGCUGAUCCUCUUGUUCAUACAGCAGAUAUCAAAAUAAUUUCUCAGGAAGCUAUUAUAUUCAGAAGUACUCCUCAACCAGAAGUAUAAAUCAUAGUUCCUAUGCUUUUAUGAAAAGCUUCCUGUUUAUAAUUGGAUGCCAGAUUCCUUAAGCAUCAAUCUUGAUCACUCAAAGCAAAUCUUGGCAUUUUUACACUUUCUCAUGUAGAACAGGAACCUUAACGAGGAAGACGAAAUUUUCAAUGAAAACAAAAUAAAAUAUUUGACGCUCAGUCUUCAGUUUCCCAAGUUGAUCUUUAAGACACUCAGUGUAUUUGGAAAUGUAUCCGUGCGUUCAACUUCAAGGUCCCAGGAGCAAAUACCUAAUGGUGUUUAAUAGGUAUAUUUAUCGCUGACAAAUUAGCUUCCAGUAGAUGGAAUGGAACUGAAUGCACUGCAGUCUAGCCAACGAAGUUUCUGCUGCUUAAACUCAGUUUAACAGAGGUUACAAAAAUCAAAAUGGUCAGUGCUUUAAGAAGGUACGUGGGUUUCGCUGUUGUUUUAAUUUUACUCUAGCUUGAAAAAAAACCUUGACUUUUCUAUCUCUGGAAGUAUGUAAAUUAAUAAAAAAAACCCAUACCCAGUGCUA